GCCUCGCCGUAAACUUUUAAUUACACCCACUAUCGCCAGGGAACUACAAGCAAAGCUUAAAACCCAAAGGACUUGACGGUACCCCAUAUCCCCCUAGAGGAGCCUGUCCUUUAAUCGAUAAUCCCCGUUUAACCUCACCAUUUCUAGUAAUAUCAGCCUGUAUACCUCCGUCGUCAGCUUACCACGUGAGCGAAACCUAGUGAGCUUAAUGCCAAUACACCAAUACGUCAGGUCAAGGUGCAGCAAAUGAAGUGGGAAGAGAUGAGCUACACUUUCUAAUAUAGAAAAUUACGAAAGACUACCUAUGAAACCUAGUCGGAAGGCGGAUUUAGCAGUAAAAAGAAACCAG
RNAcentral lists this ribosomal RNA (349 nucleotides) under Atelognathus jeinimenensis. Its description in RNAcentral is "partial 12S ribosomal RNA". It matches the Rfam family "Bacterial small subunit ribosomal RNA", at positions 794 to 1352 of the family's 1533-position model. Lineage: Eukaryota; Metazoa; Chordata; Amphibia; Anura; Batrachylidae. The record is from RNAcentral.